Molecule: long non-coding RNA, 380 nt
Organism: Labeo rohita (rohu)
Lineage: Eukaryota; Metazoa; Chordata; Actinopteri; Cypriniformes; Cyprinidae
Exons: 3
Source: RefSeq, a predicted model, not a curated record
AAAUAAACGAAUGCGAGCUGAAUGAGAGGAUUGUGGAUGGAGGGAUGGAUGAGACCUACAGGUAGAUCCCUCAAGAACUGCUUCAGUAAACUGGCUACUGCAAAGGCGUCUGCAUCCUGAUGUAAAUCCACCUCUUCUCCAGCAUCAAACCUCUGCCGCAGGUUAUCCACAGUCCGAACGCUGCCGUUUACUCUAAACAGACCCUCCAGACGAAGUCCUGACAGAUUGUGGCACCAUGAGAGGGACAUAAAGCUCUAUCAGAUUUCUUCACACCAACCAUGAUCAGGUCAUCACUUACCAUGCUUUUCCAGAUACUCCACCAUACACCGGACCACCACAGGAACCCCAUCCUUGACGAGUCCCAGAUUUCUCAACUCCAG